CUUCAACUGAGCAUCUAUGCAGGUAAUUAUUAUCCAUUUAUUCUGUCUUCCAUAACCAUAAAGUUGUUCCCUGGGACGUAUAAAAUGACUUCUGCGUAUUCCUGAAAGCAUAACGAUCUGUGAGCUGCUGGUCUUUAUUGCUCCUUUAGGAUGAGAGACCCCUCCUCAAGUCUGACUCAAGAGACUAGAGAGACAACAACACACACACGGCGCAUAGCGUCUACUAACAAUAGUGUGUGAGCAGCCAGAUAUUCCCUCACGCCUUCUACACACGUCUGCGCCGUCCGUCACUGCGUUCCCUGUGUGCAUGUGGCACGUUUCCACCAGGGGAAGUCCACCACGUCCCCGGCGCCGGUCCAGCCCGGCGCUGCCCUGAAGAACGACCCUGCAGGAUCCAACAGGGUCCAGUACAAAAAAUGAAUCUGAGUCUACUUUAAUGCUCUUAUUUAUAUUGAAAUUGUAUUGUAUUUCUUUUAAUAAAAGAUAAAGCUAUACUUUUAUUAUUA
Betta splendens (Siamese fighting fish) is the source of this 506-nucleotide long non-coding RNA. RefSeq lists it as uncharacterized. The record is from RefSeq and is a predicted model, not a curated record. Lineage: Eukaryota; Metazoa; Chordata; Actinopteri; Anabantiformes; Osphronemidae. The transcript is spliced from 2 exons.